This 303-nucleotide ribosomal RNA is filed under the name uncultured bacterium. RNAcentral's name for it is "partial 16S ribosomal RNA". It matches the Rfam family "Bacterial small subunit ribosomal RNA", at positions 507 to 809 of the family's 1533-position model. The record is from RNAcentral.
AGCAGCCGCCACGGGAAUACGUAGGGUGCAAGCGUUAAUCGGAAUUACUGGGCGUAGCGUGCGCAGGCGGUUAUAUAAGACAGAUGUGAAAUCCCCGGGCUCAACCUGGGAACUGCAUUUGUGACUGUAUAGCUAGAGUACGGCAGAGGGGGAUGGAAUUCCGCGUGUAGCAGUGAAAUGCGUAGAUAUGCGGAGGAACACCGAUGGCGAAGGCAAUCCCCUGGGCCUGUACUGACGCUCAUGCACGAAAGCGUGGGGAGCAAACAGGAUUAGAUACCCCAGUAGUCCCUGUCUCUUAUACAC